UACGGAGGAUCCAAGCGUUAUCCGGAUUUAUUGGGUUUAAAGGGUGCGUAGGCGGAUGAAUAAGUCAGUGGUGAAAGCCUGCAGCUUAACUGUAGAAUUGCCAUUGAUACUGUUUAUCUUGAGUACAUUUGAUGUGGGCGGAAUGUGUCAUGUAGCGUGAAAUGCUUAGAUAUGACACAGAACACCGAUUGCGAAGGCAGCUCACAAAACUGUAACUGACGCUGAGGCACGAAAGCGUGGGUAUCAAACAGGA
This 253-nucleotide ribosomal RNA is filed under the name uncultured bacterium. Its description in RNAcentral is "partial 16S ribosomal RNA". It matches the Rfam family "Bacterial small subunit ribosomal RNA", at positions 524 to 777 of the family's 1533-position model. The record is from RNAcentral.